RNAcentral lists this ribosomal RNA (373 nucleotides) under uncultured bacterium. Its description in RNAcentral is "bacterial SSU rRNA". It matches the Rfam family "Bacterial small subunit ribosomal RNA", at positions 523 to 898 of the family's 1533-position model. The record is from RNAcentral.
AUACGUAGGUGGCGAGCGUUGUCCGGAUUUAUUGGGUUUAAAGGGUGCGCAGGCGGGGGAUUAGGUCGGCGGUGAAAUAUCAGGGCUCAACCUUGAGAGUGCCGUCGAAGCCGGUUUUCUUGAGUGCGGAUGAAGUAGGCGGAAUUUGUGGUGUAGCGGUGAAAUGCGUAGAUAUCACAAGGAACACCGAUUGCGGAGGCAGCUUACUAAACCGCAACUGACGCUCAUGCACGAAGGCGUGGGGAUCAAACAGGAUUAGAUACCCUGGUAGUCCACGCAGUAAACGAUGAUUACUGGCUGUUUGCGAUACAAUGUAAGCGGCUGAGCGAAAGCGUUAAGUAAUCCACCUGGGGAGUACGUUCGCAAGAAUGAA